AUUGAACGCUGGCGGCAGGCCUAACACAUGCAAGUCGAGCGGUAACAGGGGUAGCUUGCUACCCGCUGACGAGCGGCGGACGGGUGAGUAAUGCAUAGGAAUCUGCCCGAUAGUGGGGGAUAACCUGGGGAAACCCAGGCUAAUACCGCAUACGUCCUACGGGAGAAAGGGGGCUCCGGCUCCCGCUAUCGGAUGAGCCUAUGUCGGAUUAGCUGGUUGGUGAGGUAACGGCUCACCAAGGCGACGAUCCGUAGCUGGUCUGAGAGGAUGAUCAGCCACAUCGGGACUGAGACACGGCCCGAACUCCUACGGGAGGCAGCAGUGGGGAAUAUUGGACAAUGGGGGGAACCCUGAUCCAGCCAUGCCGCGUGUGUGAAGAAGGCCCUCGGGUUGUAAAGCACUUUCAGUGAGGAAGAACGCCUGGUGGUUAAUACCCAUCAGGAAAGACAUCACUCACAGAAGAAGCACCGGCUAACUCCGUGCCAGCAGCCGCGGUAAUACGGAGGGUGCGAGCGUUAAUCGGAAUUACUGGGCGUAAAGCGCGCGUAGGUGGCUUGAUAAGCCGGUUGUGGAAGCCCCGGGCUCAACCUGGGAACGGCAUCCGGAACUGUCAAGCUAGAGUGCAGGAGAGGAAGGUAGAAUUCCCGGUGUAGCGGUGAAAUGCGUAGAGAUCGGGAGGAAUACCAGUGGCGAAGGCGGCCUUCUGGACUGACACUGACACUGAGGUGCGAAAGCGUGGGUAGCAAACAGG
This 751-nucleotide ribosomal RNA is filed under the name uncultured Halomonas sp. RNAcentral describes it as "bacterial SSU rRNA". It matches the Rfam family "Bacterial small subunit ribosomal RNA", at positions 28 to 776 of the family's 1533-position model. The record is from RNAcentral. Lineage: Bacteria; Pseudomonadati; Pseudomonadota; Gammaproteobacteria; Oceanospirillales; Halomonadaceae.